CGGGGCUAAUACCGGAUAAGACCACGUCACCCAGGUGGCGCGGUAAAAGGUUGCUUUAUUUUCGAAUGAGGCUAUCACUUGGGGAUGAGUCCAUGGCCUAUCAGCUUGUUGGUGAGGUAACGGCUCACCAAGGCUAUGACGGGUAGCUGGUCUGAGAGGACGACCAGCCACACUGGGACUGAGACACGGCCCAGACUCCUACGGGAGGCAGCAGUGGGGAAUAUUGGGCAAUGGGCGAAAGCCUGACCCAGCGACGCCGUGUGGGUGAUGAAGGCCUUCGGGUUGUAAAGCCCUGUUGGGUGGAAAGAAGGGCUCAGAGGCGAAUAACCUUUGAGCCUUGACGGUACCACCAGAGAAAGCACCGGCUAACUCCGUGCCAGCAGCCGCGGUAA
RNAcentral lists this ribosomal RNA (392 nucleotides) under uncultured delta proteobacterium. Its description in RNAcentral is "bacterial SSU rRNA". It matches the Rfam family "Bacterial small subunit ribosomal RNA", at positions 158 to 523 of the family's 1533-position model. The record is from RNAcentral. Lineage: Bacteria; Deltaproteobacteria.